Molecule: ribosomal RNA, 429 nt
Filed under: Gemmatimonadota bacterium
Lineage: Bacteria; Pseudomonadati; Gemmatimonadota
Description: Gemmatimonadetes bacterium partial 16S ribosomal RNA
Rfam family: Bacterial small subunit ribosomal RNA
Source: RNAcentral
UAGGGAAUCUUCGGCAAUGGACGAAAGUCUGACCGAGCAACGCCGCGUGAGUGAAGAAGGCUUUCGGAUCGUAAAACUCUGUUGUUAGAGAAGAAUAAGGACGUUAGUAACUGAACGUCCCCUGACGGUAUCUAACCAGAAAGCCACGGCUAACUACGUGCCAGCAGCCGCGGUAAUACGUAGGUGGCAAGCGUUGUCCGGAUUUAUUGGGCGUAAAGCGAGCGCAGGCGGUUUCUUAAGUCUGAUGUGAAAGCCCCCGGCUCAACCGGGGAGGGUCAUUGGAAACUGGGAGACUUGAGUGCAGAAGAGGAGAGUGGAAUUCCAUGUAUGGCGGUGAAAUGCGUAGAUAUAUGGAGGAACACCAGUGGCGAAGGCGGCUCUCUGGUCUGUAACUGACGCUGAGGCUCGAAAGCGUGGGGAGCAAACAGG